This 907-nucleotide ribosomal RNA is filed under the name Halieaceae bacterium. Its description in RNAcentral is "bacterial SSU rRNA". It matches the Rfam family "Bacterial small subunit ribosomal RNA", at positions 78 to 982 of the family's 1533-position model. The record is from RNAcentral. Lineage: Bacteria; Pseudomonadati; Pseudomonadota; Gammaproteobacteria; Cellvibrionales; Halieaceae.
CUUCGGGGUGAGUAGAGCGGCGGACGGGUGAGUAACGCGUAGGAAUCUACCCAGUAGUGGGGGACAACUAGUGGAAACGCUAGCUAAUACCGCAUACGCCCUAAGGGGGAAAGCGGGGGACCUUCGGGCCUCGUGCUAUUGGAUGAGCCUGCGUAAGAUUAGCUUGUUGGUGGGGUAAUGGCCCACCAAGGCGACGAUCUUUAGCUGGUCUGAGAGGAUGAUCAGCCACACCGGGACUGAGACACGGCCCGGACUCCUACGGGAGGCAGCAGUCGGGAAUAUUGCGCAAUGGGGGAAACCCUGACGCAGCCAUGCCGCGUGUGUGAAGAAGGCCCUAGGGUUGUAAAGCACUUUCAAUUGGGAGGAAAAGCUAAUGGUUAAUAACCAUUAGCCCUGACGUUACCUUUAGAAGAAGCACCGGCUAACUCCGUGCCAGCAGCCGCGGUAAUACGGAGGGUGCAAGCGUUAAUCGGAAUUACUGGGCGUAAAGCGCGCGUAGGCGGUUUUUUAAGUCGGAUGUGAAAGCCCCGGGCUCAACCUGGGAACUGCAUCCGAUACUGGAUGACUAGAAUGCGGGAGAGGGAGGUAGAAUUCCAUGUGUAGCAGUGAAAUGCGUAGAUAUAUGGAGGAAUACCAGUGGCGAAGGCGGCCUCCUGGCUCGACAUUGACGCUGAGGUGCGAAAGCGUGGGGAGCAAACGGGAUUAGAUACCCCGGUAGUCCACGCCGUAAACGAUGUCUACUAGCUGUAGGGGUACUUGAGACCUUUGUAGCGCAGCUAACGCAAUAAGUAGACCGCCUGGGGAGUACGGCCGCAAGGUUAAAACUCAAAUGAAUUGACGGGGGCCCGCACAAGCAGUGGAGCAUGUGGUUUAAUUCGAUGCAACGCGAAGAACCUUACCAGGCCUU